GAUGAACGCUAGCGGCAGGCCUAAUACAUGCAAGCCGAACGGCAAGACUUUCAGCAAUGGAAGUCCUAGAGUGGCGUAAGGGUGCGUAACACGUAUGCAAUCUGCCCUCAACAGGAGGAUAGCUCCCCGAAAGGGGAAUUAAUACUUCAUAGGAUUUAGUGGUGGCAUCACUAUUAAAUUAAACUACGGGGUUGAGGAUGAGCAUGCGCAUGAUUAGUUAGUUGGCGGGGUAACGGCCCACCAAGACGAUGAUCAUUAGGGGAACUGAGAGGUUGAUCCCCCACACUGGCACUGAGAUACGGGCCAGACUCCUACGGGAGGCAGCAGUAGGGAAUAUUGGACAAUGGGUGAGAGCCUGAUCCAGCCAUGCCGCGUGCAGGAAGAAAGCCUUCUGGGUUGUAAACUGCUUUUCUCUGGGGAUAAAAUGGUGGUGCGCCACAAAUUGAAGGUACCAAGGAAUAAGCCACGGCUAACUACGUGCCAGCAGCCGCGGUAAUACG
RNAcentral lists this ribosomal RNA (500 nucleotides) under uncultured bacterium. RNAcentral's name for it is "bacterial SSU rRNA". It matches the Rfam family "Bacterial small subunit ribosomal RNA", at positions 28 to 527 of the family's 1533-position model. The record is from RNAcentral.